RNAcentral lists this ribosomal RNA (497 nucleotides) under uncultured bacterium. RNAcentral describes it as "partial 16S ribosomal RNA". It matches the Rfam family "Bacterial small subunit ribosomal RNA", at positions 28 to 507 of the family's 1533-position model. The record is from RNAcentral.
GAUGAACGCUGGCGGCGUGCCUAAUACAUGCAAGUCGAGCGAACGGACGAGAAGCUUGCUCCUCUGAUGUUAGCGGCGGACGGGUGAGUAACACGUGGAUAACCUACCUAUAUGACGGGGAUAACUUCGGGAAACCGGAGCUAAUACCGGAUAAUAUAUUGAACCGCAUGGUUCAAUAGUGAAAGGCGGUUUUGCUGUCACUUAUAGAUGGAUCCGCGCUGCAUUAGCUAGUUGGUAAGGUAACGGCUUACCAAGGCAACGAUGCGUAGCCGACCUGAGAGGAUGAUCGGCCACACUGGAACUGAGACACGGUCCAGACUCCUACGGGAGGCAGCAGUAGGGAAUCUUCCGCAAUGGGCGAAAGCCUGACGGAGCAACGCCGCGUGAGUGAUGAAGGUCUUCGGAUCGUAAAACUCUGUUAUUAGGGAAGAACAUAUGUGUAAGUAACUGUGCACGUCUUGACGGUACCUAAUCAGAAAGCCACGGCUAACUACGUG